RNAcentral lists this long non-coding RNA (1387 nucleotides) under Equus asinus (donkey). RNAcentral describes it as "lncRNA (ENSEASG00005028133.1)". Lineage: Eukaryota; Metazoa; Chordata; Mammalia; Perissodactyla; Equidae. The record is from RNAcentral.
UUUUUUUCCAAUUUUUUUUAUUAUGGCAAAAUACACAUAAUAUAAAACUUACGACCUUAACCAUUUUUCAAUUCUUACUGAUUUCUAUAAAAUAACAUUCACAGGUACAACGAAAAGCAUACCAUUUUUUUAUUAAAUUUCAUUUUUACUUAGACAAUAAACCUGUUCAUUUCUUUUUAUUAGACAUUGUUCUUCAAUCCAUAUCCAGCUCUCUCCCACUCCUCCCGGAAAUGAAGUUAAGACAGCUCAGCGCUUGGUUGAUUUUGCAGGGAAAUUACAAAAAAGGAGAAAAACUCUUCUUAAACUGUUCUAAGUUCUUUUUUUUCCUUUCAGUGUUUGAUUCUUUAUAGUCAGAUAGGCACACUAUCCACAGAAUUGCCAGUAGAAACCAGCAGUAAAAAGAAAAUAGAAUGCAUUGCCAGUUACAAUAAGAAUGAGGUCAAGGUCUGAAAUUCCUUAAAGUAAUGCUUUUCGGUUUCAUUAUAUUACAGAUUACAGAAAAUGUAUUAAGAAAAAAGAUGUGUAUCUGAAAUCAUAAUUAAUAAACACUGUCUUUUCAUUUACUAAGUAACACGUGAAUAAAUUAAACUUAAAACUACAACUUUCAACCAGCGAAUUUCUUUUCAGUUGAGCUAGUUUUGCUGGAGAAAAAAAUCUCAAAGGUCAGGGUUAUUUGGGUGCAAGUGUCAGACUUUCUUUUGCUCUAUUUUGUUGUUAAUGAUUUUUCAAAAGAACAAUAAAUAUAUACAUGUACAUAUAUAUUCUUGAAAGGAACUGCAUUCAGCAUUUUAGCAUGAACACUGUCAGGACAGAGCAAAACGGGGGCUUGUGUGUGAAAGAAGGUAGACAGUGUUGGAGAAUGUAGUCUAUGGGACUAGCUUUAGAGGUGAGAUUUUAAAAAAUUAAAAAACAAAACAAACAAACAAAAAUAGUUCUAGGGCAUCAGAUCAGCCUUUUCCCCUUUUCCCCGAGAUCCAGCCAUAAAAGGCCUCACCCUAAAUAAGCCCUGGGAAGAAGUAAGAAUACACCUCCCCAUUCUCCAUUUCCAGCCAUGGAAUUGUAAUCAGGAUCAUAAAUGUCUUCAAGACUGGGCAGCCAACAAAAAUAACCGAAACUGUUCUGUAUUUAAUAACACUUGGUGAUGCGGACUGUGGUAAACUGAAGACUCCACACCUGAAGGCCUUUAAAUUUAAAGAAAAAUAAGAUACCAUAUUAGCCAAACAAAACACAUCAACAGAGUAAACUCAGCUGUGAUUCCAUCCGUUUUUUCCUAAGACCUUCUCCUCACUCUCAGAUCCAAGUUUCUGAUGCAGUUCUCAUGGCCUGGGGAGGGGCUCCAACAGAAUAUGGCUUGAUGGGGAUCUUGGGAACUGGAGUCAGGGCCUCC